RNAcentral lists this transfer RNA (73 nucleotides) under Thermoprotei archaeon. Its description in RNAcentral is "tRNA-Thr". It matches the Rfam family "tRNA". Rfam says of the family: Transfer RNA (tRNA) molecules are approximately 80 nucleotides in length. Their secondary structure includes four short double-helical elements and three loops (D, anti-codon, and T loops). Lineage: Archaea; Thermoproteati; Thermoproteota; Thermoprotei. RNAcentral also lists the same sequence under 1 other name. The record is from RNAcentral.
GCCCCGGUAGCUCAGCAGGCAGAGCGCGGGCCUUGUAAGCCCGUGGUCCCGGGUUCGAAUCCCGGCCGGGGCU